This 74-nucleotide transfer RNA is filed under the name Saprospiraceae bacterium. Its description in RNAcentral is "tRNA-Trp". It matches the Rfam family "tRNA". Rfam says of the family: Transfer RNA (tRNA) molecules are approximately 80 nucleotides in length. Their secondary structure includes four short double-helical elements and three loops (D, anti-codon, and T loops). Further hydrogen bonds mediate the characteristic L-shaped molecular structure. tRNAs have two regions of fundamental functional importance: the anti-codon, which is responsible for specific mRNA codon recognition, and the 3' end, to which the tRNAs corresponding amino acid is attached (by aminoacyl-tRNA synthetases). tRNAs cope with the degeneracy of the genetic code in two manners: having more than one tRNA (with a specific anti-codon) for a particular amino acid; and 'wobble' base-pairing, i.e. permitting non-standard base-pairing at the 3rd anti-codon position. The record is from RNAcentral. Lineage: Bacteria; Pseudomonadati; Bacteroidota; Saprospiria; Saprospirales; Saprospiraceae.
GGCUCUGUGGUGUAAUGGUAACAUAGGUGCCUCCAAAAUACUUGCUUGCGGUUCGAUUCCGUGCAGGGCCGCCA